Mirounga angustirostris (Northern elephant seal) is the source of this 3982-nucleotide long non-coding RNA. RefSeq lists it as uncharacterized. The transcript has 3 exons. NCBI's taxonomy places the organism in Eukaryota, Metazoa, Chordata, Mammalia, Carnivora, Phocidae. The record is from RefSeq and is a predicted model, not a curated record.
GUGGGGAGCAGUUCCCAGGUUCGCCGCCGCCGGCGCCGGGAGAAUGGGCUCCGCCGGCAGGCGGCGGACCCUUCCUCGGGCUUCCGGAAGGUCCUCGUCGCCACCUUCUUUCUUACCCUGGAUGCUUUCUCCCGUUUCCAGGACAGAUUUGGAGGAACACGUUUCAUAACUGUCGUCCAACUGGAAAAGUCCGGAUAGCUAUAAGGGAGAGGACAGUGGUGCACCCUCAAGAGUUGGCAGUGCCGAGGAGUGCCCGGGCCAGGCGCAACCGGUGAUUCCCGCUGGCAGGCUCCUCAGAGGUUGCCAUGGAGAUAAACUCUCUGCUGGAGCAGCCUUGGAGAAAGAAAGGGAAGAAUUUGGCCUGCUGUGCUGGAGAGGGGAUGGCCAGAUGUCCCAGGCAGUGCCUGUCCCCAAGAACCCAUUCUCCCCCAUCUCUAACUCCUACUCUCCCAGGACCUGAACUGCCUCACCUCGGGGGAGGUGGAGGUCUGUGAUCUCCAGGUUCCCUUUUCCAGCUCAAAAUUCUGUAACUGUGACUGAGAAGACAUGUCUACAUGGUGUUCAUAGCUCUAUUCCUUGUCCUCCAAGAAAAUGGUUGUCUUUUUGUGCUUGACGACCUUCCUGCCCUCCACCCUUCUUCCCUCCCUUCUUUUCCCCUUGCCCUCUUUUUUCUCCCCUGAUUACGGCCCAUCUCCCAUUCCCUUGGUAGCCUCUGUCACCGCUCUCCCCAUGGGAAAUCAGAGGAGCAAGUACAUCCUGCCUGUCUUUCCAGUGAAUUGAUUCAUUAACUGGCCAGUCAUGCUAGCAACCUCCACCAGACACUGAGCCCUGCUUUGUGCCUGCUGGGGUGCCAGUUGGUCAAAAGGUAAGCUUCAUAUAACCCUGUAAGAGCUUUAGCUUCAUUAUACAGAUGAGAAACUGAGAUGAGAGAGGAAUAAUCACUUGACCAAGUUCCGUUGGCUGAGUGGCUGAGCUGCAGCUGAGUAAUCAGUCCCGCAGGAAUCUGAGUGCAGGACGAAGUUUCUGUUCAGGUGACAAUUCAAGGGCAGGGUUGGGGUGAGGCCUUGAAGGGCAUAUGCAGGGCAUGGGGGGGCAAGGACUUUCUGGACACAGGAAUCCCAGAGGAGCCUACAGUUGGGGGUGAUGGCAGAGUUAUAGCAGUGAGCCGGAAGCACGCAUGUGGGAACACCCGUGACCUGCUGCCCAGAGGCCUCCCAAGCUGGCCUUCUGGGGCCAAGGGCUCUCCCCAGAGCAGAUCAGUGGGGGCUGUGCAAGGAAAACAGGGAGCAGCCAGGCAGCCCCUUCCCAGAGGCCUCCAGGGACCCUGCCUGAUGCUGCAGGGUUGUAAGGCAGCUGGACAGAGUGCUCUCAGAUGGCAGCAAACCUGGUUUAAUUUCCAGUCCCAGGACCUGGUCGGGUGAGGGGUGGAGGGCGGAGGAAAAACUGGCUCAGGGAGGUGCCUCCCACUGCCCCCCUCCCGAUGGGACUCGGGGACAUCCACAGUAACACCCAGAGACUCGUCUCUCGGGCAGUCAUCCAAGCCACACCCCCUUACACCGGGGAGCAGACAGUGAGGAUGAGGAUUGGCAGUCUUGCUGAAAGGCUGUAAGGCAGGAAACGGAGACCUUGCCCUGCAAGGUCAGGCUCCCUGGUCAGGCUCCCUGCUCAGCGGGGGGGGGGGGGGGGGAGGAGGAGUCUGCCUCUCCCUCUCCCUCGCCCCUCCCCCUCCUUUGCUCUCUCUCUCUCUCAAAUAAAUAAAAUCUUUAAAAAAAAGAAUAGAACACAAUAGAAUAAAGCAGAAGAGAACAAAAGAACAGAAUAGAACAGAUCAGAUCAGAUGAGGACAUCAUACUUAUAAGGGGACUAUUGUUCCAUGAACUUGUUUUCAUUUUAGAGAUGUACACUGUGUUGGAGGUAAAGUCCACCCCCUCCUCACCCCCCUGCCCCCGACAGCGCUGUGUGAACAGAAGGGCUGCUCCUCUGGGGGCCAUGGCCUCAGUGCCCCAGACAAAGCGGGGGGGGGGGGGGGAGGCCAGGGGUGGGGCCUGGCCCUGAGGCCUCUGGCAGCCAAGGAGCCCUCCGGGCCCGGGGGCAGCAGGGCUGGGGGGCAGUGCAGGAACUGAGAGACCUGACAGCCAGUUGCGGCCGCUCCGCAGGGAAGUGGCACCUGGCAUAAAAUGAUGACCAGGCACCCGUGGCGGCUUGCCCCUCUCCUGUGGGCCCAGCCGGAGGGGGAGGGGACCCUCAGCCCGGCACAGGGCUGCCACACAGGUUGGCCACAGGUUGACUGCAUUAUUUCAAGGUCAUCCGGGCCUUUCCCUGCCUUCAGGGGGGAUCUGCCUGAGCCUGGGAAGAGAAAUGAUCUUCCCAGCGCUGACAAUACCCAAAUGCCACCUCCCUGCUGGGGACUGUCACCACACAUGGCCUCCUUCAUUCCCGGUACCACAGGUGAGGGUGGGGGAUGCCUGGGAUCCCCCAGGCCCCCAGUUAGCCUAGACCAAAGUUGUCUAUAUUCCUUAGGGUGCAGCCGCAGAGAGAUGCCCGUUUUACACCCAACACAGUGUAUACACAUAAUAAAGCUCUAAAAUGAAAACAAGUUUAUGGAACAAUAUUCCCCUUACAGGGUGUGAUAUCCUCACCUGAUCUGUUCUGUUCUAUUCUUUUGUUCUGUCCUACUUUAUUCUGUUGUGUUCUAUUCUAGCCCAUUCUAUUCUGGGAGACAGAGGAGGAGAGGGGCUGUGGAGGUGGUGGGCUCACCCACAAUCACCUCAUAAGACCCUUGAAGGGACACAAAUUGCAGCUGCCCCGGGUGAGCCCUCCUAUGUCUCCCCCGAGGGUCCCGGGGCUCUUGGCAGCAGAGACCAUACCCUAUUCACCCGGUAUCGCCCCGGGCUCUUGGAAGAGACUCCAAAUUCGCAGAACCAGCAAACCUUGGAGAACGGCCGUCAGUCCAAGCUGGAAGUGCAGGGGACGAAAGCGCAGCUCCCAGUCUGAGUCUGCUGCAUCUUUGUCAUUUGCAUAUUGACUCCCUUCCUCCUGGAUUCACUGGCCAUGGGCCCUUAGGGGCCUUAGGGACUAAGUCUUAGGUCCUAUAGAGGUGACAGCACUCAGGAGACCCCAGAAUCUUGGGCUCAGGGUCUGGCAGAUCCCAUGAGUGAAUAAAUGAAAGGCCCAUUGUCCAAGGGUAGGAGCAGAGGCUUCGGGGUCAGUGCGACCUGAGCACAGUUCUGAGUUUGUCGCGCACUUGCGUAAGCCACUUAGCCUCUGGGAGCACCAGUUUGCUUGUCUAUAACAAUGGGGAUAUUAAUAUCUAUUGCAGUUUUGAUAUAAAGAUUAGCAAAAGCGCUUAUAAAGUAAAAUGGUACAUCUUAGGAAUUUAAUAAAUAACACCUGUUAUUAUUGUUAAUAGUGAUUACAAUAAUACUAAAGGUUUCAGAACAGCUGUGGGUACUCCAAGUAUCCUAUUAUUACUCACAUUUGGGGGAGAUUUGUUUGCCAUUAUCUUCACCCUCAUAAAUAUCUGGAAGAGGAAACAAAUUAUAAAGGUAAUAAAUGGCUGUAAAAGGAAACAGAGCAUGCACGUGCGCGCGCGCGCACACACACACACACACGAAAAACAAAACCAAACACAAAGGUCCUUGAAAAAUAUUCAAUUUGAUUACAGCAAAAUUUUAAGUGAUAGUUGCAUUCUUGGAAAAUGAGCAGAAUGGCUCUGGUACCAGUCAAGGUCUAGUGGUGUGUUGGGAAGAUAUACUUUGAGUCUUGGGGGCACUCCCAGUCCAUGUACCAGAAUAAACAUAAAAAUGUUGGUGGAGAAGGAUAAGAAGAAUGGGAAAGGUGGGCUGUGAAAAUUCAUGCUAGUAAGAACUGGUGUAUAUUCUCUUUUCCUUCGGUGGAUGAUCUUUCUAGCAUACAUGACAUAAAUCCUAAAUGGCUUUGGGAAUUUAGUUUCCAAACUUAGUGUUGGAAUUCUGAUCUUUCA